GACGAACGCUGGCGGCGUGCCUAAUACAUGCAAGUAGAACGCUGAAGGAGGAGCUUGCUUCUCUGGAUGAGUUGCGAACGGGUGAGUAACGCGUAGGUAACCUGCCUGGUAGCGGGGGAUAACUAUUGGAAACGAUAGCUAAUACCGCAUAAGAGUAGAUGUUGCAUGACAUUUGCUUAAAAGGUGCAAUUGCAUCACUACCAGAUGGACCUGCGUUGUAUUAGCUAGUUGGUGGGGUAACGGCUCACCAAGGCGACGAUACAUAGCCGACCUGAGAGGGUGAUCGGCCACACUGGGACUGAGACACGGCCCAGACUCCUACGAGAGGCAGCAGUAGGGAAUCUUCGGCAAUGGACGGAAGUCUGACCGAGCAACGCCGCGUGAGUGAAGAAGGUUUUCGGAUCGUAAAGCUCUGUUGUAAGAGAAGAACGAGUGUGAGAGUGGAAAGUUCACACUGUGACGGUAUCUUACCAGAAAGGGACGGCUAACUACGUG
This 495-nucleotide ribosomal RNA is filed under the name uncultured bacterium. RNAcentral's name for it is "partial 16S ribosomal RNA". It matches the Rfam family "Bacterial small subunit ribosomal RNA", at positions 28 to 507 of the family's 1533-position model. The record is from RNAcentral.